Molecule: long non-coding RNA, 232 nt
Organism: Empidonax traillii (willow flycatcher)
Lineage: Eukaryota; Metazoa; Chordata; Aves; Passeriformes; Tyrannidae
Exons: 3
Source: RefSeq, a predicted model, not a curated record
UUCUCAGAUUCCUCCUGAUGGACAAUUUAUUGAUAUGUACCAACAACAUUCAGAGCAGCCACUAACUUGGCAUGCAGCUGCCUAAGACUCAUUAUGGCCACGUUCUGAAAGAAAGGAAAGGAAUUACAUUACCUUAUGCCUUUCCCCAUAGAGAUAUCUGGAAGCAGAGCCACUACCAUAGACUUCGACAAUUGUCUAAAACAAGCUUAUCUUUCUCCCUGUUUGAAACAUG